RNAcentral lists this ribosomal RNA (301 nucleotides) under uncultured bacterium. RNAcentral's name for it is "partial 16S ribosomal RNA". It matches the Rfam family "Bacterial small subunit ribosomal RNA", at positions 509 to 807 of the family's 1533-position model. The record is from RNAcentral.
CAGCCGCCGCGGUAAAACGUAGGUGGCAAGCGUUGUCCGGAAUUAUUGGGCGUAAAGGGCUCGCAGGCGGUUUCUUAAGUCUGAUGUGAAAGCCCCCGGCUCAACCGGGGAGGGUCAUUGGAAACUGGGAAACUUGAGUGCAGAAGAGGAGAGUGGAAUUCCACGUGUAGCGGUGAAAUGCGUAGAGAUGUGGAGGAACACCAGUAGCGAAGGCGACUCUCUGGUCUGUAACUGACGCUGAGGAGCGAAAGCGUGGGGAGCGAACAGGAUUAGAUACCCCGGUAGUCCCUGUCUCUUAUAC